Molecule: ribosomal RNA, 884 nt
Filed under: Sclerocollum sp. THC16434A
Lineage: Eukaryota; Metazoa; Acanthocephala; Palaeacanthocephala; Cavisomidae
Description: partial large subunit ribosomal RNA
Rfam family: Eukaryotic large subunit ribosomal RNA
Source: RNAcentral
UAAGCAUAUUAAUAAGCGGAAGAAGAGAAACUAACAAGGAUACCGUUCGUAAUGGCGAAUGAACACUGUUUUACCACUAUCGAACCUUACAUUAACUCAAUGUAUGGAGUGUGAUAUUGGUGUGAUUCGAUGUGGUCGUCUUUAGCUAUGAAAGUUUGAUUGAUUGCAACUAUUCAUAGAGGGUGAAAGUCCCGUAUCACUGCUAAUUGACGAUUCACUUGUUUUGCGCAUGAGUAAAGCUGUUUCGAACUGCAGCUUGAAUGUACGUGGUGAACUCCAUGUAAGAUUCAAUAUGUUCGCGAGACCGAUAGAGGACAAGUACCGUGAGGGAAAGUUGAAAAGUACUCUGGAAAGAGAGUGAACAAGCCUGUGCAACUGUACAUUGCAAAGCGAAUGACAGAAAGUGCAAACUCGUUGCUUAAUUGCUUAUUCGUCAAUAAUUGAUUUGUUGCUAUUUCUUUGAAAGACGUUAAGCAGCUUGCCUGAUGAGUUUUGCUAAUGCGGUGCCUGUCGAUUAUGAUCUUUGAUGUGCGAACAAGUAUCGUUUCGUUAUUUGUUGAUCAUCAUGUUAGUGCGCUGAGCACUACAACUAACAUGGCUGGUAUUUACUGAUUACUCGACAUUGAUCCAGAUUAUUGGAUUGUCAAGUUCACUUGGUGCAUUAGUUCAAUGAUCUGUCAUCUGAACCGUCUUGAAACACGGACUAAGGAGUUCAACUUGAGCGCAAGUCGACUACAUGAAUAAAGUAUGGGGCACAGUGAAAGCAAUCUUGCAAUGAAUGUGAACUGAAGUUGCGAUUGUGCACUGAAGGUUAGCACAUGAUCUGGGUGGCAGUUUAUUACUUGCCUACUGCAACAGAGCGCUUUGGUUGUGACCCGAAAGAU